UAAGUUGUUGACUGAUUGGAUUUUAAAUCACACAGAAUUGUUUUCUAUAUAUUUGUUUUUGGUCUUUGUUAAUUAUUACAAUAAGUUCUGCCCAGUGGGUAGAAUAAAUGUCAAGUCAUUCAUGUCACUGCUGAUCUCUUUACUGUACACCUGUUGUGUAACAAAUAUAAAACUCACUUUUACAACUGGGUGUACGGCAGAAAACAGACUGUUAAAGUUGUCACUUUAUCACACCUGCUAACUCCCUGUCAGCACAGUAUGAUAUGUGCUCAGUUGCAGAACAUCCUACUGGAUCAGCAUUAUGUAAAAGUUGGGUUCUCCAUAAUACAGUGUAAUCAUGUUUUGUAUUGUUGUAAAGCCGUUGUUAUGGGAACAAGUUGGUGACUUGGGUGCUGUGGUGCAAAAGAUCUUGAUACCUAUGGGUCAGCACCCAGCCAGACACAAAGGUUACUCAGUGUGGUAUGCUUACAGACAGUGCAAGCUGGCUCAUUAAUGUACUGUUUUUUUAUGUUUGUGUCUAUAUUUGAUGUCUUGGUGUUUGCUUUUUUAGUCUCCUCCAUCUACUAUGCAUAAUUGUUAGCUCAAAGGAAAUGUUAAAACACAAUUUUGGAGUCAGAAAAUUGAGAUCAUUAAAUUAAUCCCGUACCAGUAGCACUGGGUAAGACUACAUGCGUUUCUUCACCACUCAGGUACUUCGGCUGUUUGGUUUAUCUGAGGGGCUUCUUACACAGAUGGCAGACAAAACCUACAGAUCAUUUACUUAAGGCCUUGAGUCCAAUCAGUUCAAUUUCAGAAGUGGAACUCAUUUUGAAAUUUUUUAUUUUAAUUGGAUUUAAAUUCUGUGUUUCUGUGGACAAAUAUAAAAUAUAGACAAUGAACAACAUUUUUUCCUUUACAUUUAAUCAGACACUCUUAUCCUUAGUGACUCACAUAGAUUGCAUUCUUUUAACUUAUGAUCCAUUUAUACAGCUGGAUAUUUGCUGAAGCAAUUCAGGUUAUGUACCUUAGUUAAGGUUACAACAGCAGAACCGUGCCUAGGAAUCAAACCUAUAACCUUGGACCAUUAUACUAUACUGCCACCCUUAAGACUGAAUAUCAGACUGGAUAUAAAAAUAAUUUUCUCAA
Long non-coding RNA from Anguilla anguilla (European eel), 1125 nucleotides. RefSeq lists it as uncharacterized. The transcript has 2 exons. The record is from RefSeq and is a predicted model, not a curated record. Lineage: Eukaryota; Metazoa; Chordata; Actinopteri; Anguilliformes; Anguillidae.